UAGGGAAUCUUCGGCAAUGGGGGGAACCCUGACCGAGCAACGCCGCGUGAGUGAAGAAGGUUUUCGGAUCGUAAAGCUCUGUUGUUAAGGAAGAACGAGUGUGAGAAUGGAAAGUUCAUACUGUGACGGUACUUAACCAGAAAGGGACGGCUAACUACGUGCCAGCAGCCGCGGUAAUACGUAGGUCCCGAGCGUUGUCCGGAUUUAUUGGGCGUAAAGCGAGCGCAGGCGGUUAGAUAAGUCUGAAGUUAAAGGCAGUGGCUCAACCAUUGUAGGCUUUGGAAACUGUUUAACUUGAGUGCAGAAGGGGAGAGUGGAAUUCCAUGUGUAGCGGUGAAAUGCGUAGAUAUAUGGAGGAACACCGGUGGCGAAAGCGGCUCUCUGGUCUGUGACUGACGCUGAGGCUCGAAAGCGUGGGGAGCGAACAGG
RNAcentral lists this ribosomal RNA (429 nucleotides) under Bacteroidota bacterium. RNAcentral describes it as "Bacteroidetes bacterium partial 16S ribosomal RNA". It matches the Rfam family "Bacterial small subunit ribosomal RNA", at positions 355 to 776 of the family's 1533-position model. Lineage: Bacteria; Pseudomonadati; Bacteroidota. The record is from RNAcentral.